RNAcentral lists this ribosomal RNA (468 nucleotides) under uncultured Syntrophus sp. RNAcentral describes it as "bacterial SSU rRNA". It matches the Rfam family "Bacterial small subunit ribosomal RNA", at positions 914 to 1382 of the family's 1533-position model. The record is from RNAcentral. Lineage: Bacteria; Pseudomonadati; Thermodesulfobacteriota; Syntrophia; Syntrophales; Syntrophaceae.
CGGGGCCCGGCACAAGCGGUGGAGCAUGUGGUUUUAAUUCGAUGCAACGCGAAGAACCUUACCUGGGCUUGACAUCCCGGGAAUCCCUUGGAAACAAGGGAGUGCCCUUCGGGGAACCUGGAGACAGGUGCUGCAUGGCUGUCGUCAGCUCGUGUCGUGAGAUGUAGGGUUAAGUCCCGCAACGAGCGCAACCCUUGUCUUUAAUUGCCAUCAUUCAGUUGGGCACUCUAAAGAGACUGCCGGUGUCAAACCGGAGGAGGUGGGGAUGACGUCAAGUCCUCAUGGCCUUUAUGACCAGGGCUACACACGUACUACAAUGGCCGGUACAGAGGGCUGCCAACCCGCGAGGGGAGCCAAUCCCAGAAAACCGGUCGUAGUCCGGAUCGUAGUCUGCAACUCGACUGCGUGAAGUCGGAAUCGCUAGUAAUCGCGGAUCAGCUUGCCGCGGUGAGUACGUUCCCGGGUCUU